UCGUGCCUACGGGGGGCAGCAGUGGGGGAUAUUGCACAAUGGGGGGAACCCUGAUGCAGCGACGCCGCGUGGGCGAUGGAGUGCUUCGGCAUGUAAAGCCCUAUCAGCAGGGAAGAAAAUGACGGUACCUGACUAAGAAGCCCCGGCUAACUCCGUGCCAGCAGCCGCGGUAAUACGGAGGAUGCGAGCGUUAUCCGGAUUUAUUGGGUUUAAAGGGUGCGCAAGCGGAGGCACAAGUCAGCGGUAAAAUCGCGGGGCUCAACCCCGCUCCGCCGUUGAAACUGUGUCCCUUGAGUGCGCGAAGG
This 305-nucleotide ribosomal RNA is filed under the name uncultured bacterium. Its description in RNAcentral is "bacterial SSU rRNA". It matches the Rfam family "Bacterial small subunit ribosomal RNA", at positions 333 to 656 of the family's 1533-position model. The record is from RNAcentral.